GUGGGGAAUUUUGGACAAUGGGCGCAAGCCUGAUCCAGCAAUGCCGCGUGCAGGAAGAAGGCCUUCGGGUUGUAAACUGCUUUUGUACGGAACGAAACGGUCCUGGUUAAUACCCGGGGCUAAUGACGGUACCGUAAGAUUAAGCACCGCCUAACUACGUGCCAGCAGCCGCGGUAAUACGUAGGGUGCAAGCGUUAAUCGGAUUUACUGGGCGUAAUGCGUGCGCAGGCGGUGCUGUAAGACAGGCGUGAAAUCCCCGGGCUUAACCUGGGAAUUGCGCUUGUGACUGCAGUGCUGGAGUGCGGCAGAGGGGGAUGGAAUUCCGCGUGUAGCAGUGAAAUGCGUAGAUAUGCGGAGGAACACCGAUGGCGAAGGCAAUCCCCUGGGCCUGCACUGACGCUCAUGCACGAAAGCGUGGGGAGCAAACAGGAUUAGAAACCCGGGUAGUCC
This 450-nucleotide ribosomal RNA is filed under the name uncultured bacterium. RNAcentral describes it as "partial 16S ribosomal RNA". It matches the Rfam family "Bacterial small subunit ribosomal RNA", at positions 354 to 796 of the family's 1533-position model. The record is from RNAcentral.